CAUCUCACCUGCACAUGGACAAAACCUUUAAUACUUGCAUGUUAUGGGAUGCAAUAAAUAAUGAAUACGUAAGGAGUUCGGCGUCUCACACUUUUCAUGUCGUCUGACAGGAUCAGUCUGGGAUGUGCAGUGUUGGAGUCCAGAGUUACGUCCACUGUGUUGAAGGUGGAACCUGUUUAGUGUACAGGUGGUUGUCACCAUUUCUACAGUGUGGAUACAAAAAGAGGCCGACGUCUGACUGUCCCUGAACGCAUCAAAGCUUUAGGCUGACGAUCUCGUCGUCUUUGCUGCGUGAACCAGGCUUUAGGUUCAAACCUCUCACCUGUUUCUGCAACACUCCUGAGUUCUGCCUGGAACCUUUCCACCAGAGCGACCAUCGACCUAUAGAUGGUCCCUGUUCCCAGAUCAGUGUUCAGCGACACCCUGGACCAGUCUUUAGCAGGUGGGAGACUGGUGACAAUGGGGAACGUCUGAAAGGCCGGUGGAACGAGAGGCGCACUGCACGAGGUCGUCGGACUGGGCGAGCCGAGCGAGGGCGCUGCCUCUGCUCUGGAGCUCCUCCACCUCCAGCUCCAGCUGUCGUAUCGUGGCUCUGGCCUGGUGUUCGGCCGCUCUGCAGUUCAUCUCCAUCACCUCCAUGAGCUCGGCCUGCGAGCGCUCGGCGGCCGACACCAGCGCCGAAAACAGGCACACGCUGCCGGCCGUCUCUCGUUCCACCGCCAGCUAGGAGUCGUUGAGAGAAUAAGGUGGUUACAAGGACCCCUCAAAUCUUCUCUGCAUCUAAACCUGCGCUGACAGUGAUCAACAAAGUGUUUCCAGACGGAGGUGAAUCAACUUUACUGGGAGGUGGUGGCUGCUCGCUGCUCCGCUCACGGUGAACCUUCUCCGGCCGCUGGAAUGAGCGAAAGGCGGUGGAGGCGACGCAGAGGUGUGGUUCAGGGCAGCGAGUGGACCGUGGUUGGGCUCCAGAGACGGCAGCGAGGUGGUGACGGGCGAACAGGAUACCUGGAUGGAGUGAUCUUUCAAAAGGAUCGAGAGAACACACGAGUAGCGACAAGUCUUCAGUUUAUGUGCAGACUUGGUUUGAUUCGUUCUACUCACCUUGGAAGUGAUCGUCUGUGAUCGUCACCGCCUGCGAGUUCUGAAGAGACCGGUGCAGCUUCUUCUUCAGUUGGUUCAGUAGGUUUUUUGGCAUUCCCCCAUGUCCUCCUCCACCUCCGGUUAACCCUUUGCUCUCCCUCCCCACCACCUCGUCUCCUCCUUCCGCUCCACUCAUGGAUCGGAACUGCUCCGUGAUCUCUCUGAGGGUCCUGUUGAUGUGGAGGUCCGGCCGCUUGUGGAAGGUUUUCUUGCAGAGAGGACACUGGCACACCUGAGAGGGAGAAUGCGUGGCGAGGAGAGGAAACAAGGAGGCAAAGAAGGAGUCAAGAACAAAAAUGGCUAAAGCCCCAAAUGCCAAAUUUAAUCCAACACCUUUUUUUUUCCACAAUCACACACCUUCAGUCCCUCCCAGUAUCUGCUGAUGCAGCCCAUGCAGAAGCUGUGGCCGCACGGCGUAGACGAAGGGUUGGUGAACACAUCGAGGCAGAUGGAGCACUGGAACUGCUCGUCAGACAGAAAACUCCCGUACAGCGGCAUGCUGGGAAAGAAACGGUGAAACCAGUAACUCACUGCACAUGUGUACGAUCACUUAGCACUGAAACGUUUAUCAAAUAAAUUCAAACAAACACGUAAUCUCAAACACAACAUCAACGCUCUAUUCUACAAAACUACAAAAUUGUAGUAGUUCUAACAUAUUUUCAUUAGAUUCUAAAUAUUUUCCAUGAGCAUUCAUUAUUAAAGGAAGAAAGAGCUGAUACCUUAGUGCAGCUGGGAUGGCUGAGGUGAAAGCAGCCAUGAGAAGCCGUAGGUUGAACGUGUGUCUCCUCCACGGGCUGUGACGAGCGCUGAAAUAUAAGAGGCGUGCACGUGGGUGUUUCCGUACGAAGGCUGCGAUUAGCAUUUCCUGCGGAAGCGACGGCCACGCCGCUCCCACGCAGCGUGCGCGGAGUUUUCCGAGCACGGGUGGCAGGACUGGUUUACGCUGGGAGAAAGGCAGAGGCGAGCACGCGGCAGACACAGUGAUAAUAAUAAUAAUAAUAACAAACUGUCAACAGUGUUUUCAUAUUCUGGGUGAAGGGGCAUGAAAUAUAAUAAGGAACUUUCCUUAGAGUUUAGAGGCAUAAACACAGACACGCACACACACACACAUUCUUUACUAGGCAUAUCUGUUUAAUUCCAGGUGCCAACUCUACUGUAGAAGCCAGAGAAUGUAUGUAGGCUAAGGGUAAAGAAUGAGGUCAGCUGGACUCAGGCCUGUCACCUUGAACUCAGACACAAAGUCGACCAGAUAUGGGUCACUGAAAUAGGUUUGUACACAUGAAAAUGUAUACGUGUCAUGACAAACCCACAGAGGACGCUCACCUGGAUGUCCAAGUCCUUUUAGUUGAGUCUCGUUUAACUCAUUUUAGCUAACGCAUACAUGUUUGCUGAUCUUUAAGUUGGCAGGUUGAAGUUUUGCACUGUUGGUUGUGUGGUAGAUUUACCUACUGGUGAUUUCCUAUCAUUUAGUACCUUCUUAGUGGAGUGCUGGACUUGGGGUAAUCAUUACUCAGACCCAUCGUAUCCCUUCAGCUCAUUUUCAUAUGUUAAAAAUCCUCUCAACAACUCGCACAACACAACAGCGUUUGCAGUUUCCGGGCAACAACUUCAACCAAACAGAGUGCGAUGAUGUACGUGAAGGCUCAGUGAUGGCACAAACGAAAUUCGCUCAUCUUGGCGUCGCUGCUUGUUCUUCACAGUCAUGGUGAAGCAGUGGGAAACCUGCAUCCACAUACCUUUGUGUUUGUGGCCUGGUUUUCAUCUUCUUUGUCACAGAAUCAGCGACAUCUCGCAUUCAUUCCAUCGAUCAUUCCUUUCAGCUACUGAUGGCCUAUCUCUAGAGUCAGAUGAGUUGACAUCACGUACCCAAACAAAUGCUGGCCUUUGUCACAGAAAGCUUCCUUAACCACGCUGUGAAAUAUUCCCACCCAUCCCCUAAAAGAGAACAGGUAACUUACCUUCAGGUCAAGUCAGGUAUGUCUGAUUGUAUUUACUGAAAUAUAAUUACGUUCAUUCUAGUUCUGAUAAAAUUGUUGUGAUGCAACAAAUGUCCUUGUUGUGUUCAUACUGUACAUAACAUAAUGGGUUGCAUGUUCCUAACAAUGUAUUUGUGAUUGUAGUACAGUUAUUUGCGUAGUUCGUUUAGACUGGGUUAUUUGUUCAGUUGCUCAAUUGUUUUUUGAAUAGUUUAUGUAGAACAUGAGAUCAGAUAACUCAUAUCAGCCCAUAACUUACCGAUAUUUCAUUUGGAGAAUACAAAAUGUGCCUUUAUAAUUAAAUAAAUAAACAAAAACA
Long non-coding RNA from Betta splendens (Siamese fighting fish), 3435 nucleotides. RefSeq lists it as uncharacterized. The transcript is spliced from 4 exons. The record is from RefSeq and is a predicted model, not a curated record. Lineage: Eukaryota; Metazoa; Chordata; Actinopteri; Anabantiformes; Osphronemidae.